RNAcentral lists this non-coding RNA (166 nucleotides) under pig gut metagenome. Its description in RNAcentral is "Lysine riboswitch". It matches the Rfam family "Lysine riboswitch aptamer". From Rfam's summary of the family: Riboswitches are metabolite binding domains within certain messenger RNAs that serve as precision sensors for their corresponding targets. Allosteric rearrangement of mRNA structure is mediated by ligand binding, and this results in modulation of gene expression. The record is from RNAcentral.
AAAGAUAGAGGUGCAUCGUCUCAUCAGUAUCUGCGGCAUUGAAGCCGGUCGUGCAGGAUCGGGUUGCGGAGAAAGGGAGCGUUGCCGAAAGGAGCCGAGGCGAAGGCUUUCUUGGGCGUACGGAAUAAGAUCCGUGCGACUGUCGCAAUUUGCGGAGUGCUAUUAU